This 252-nucleotide ribosomal RNA is filed under the name uncultured prokaryote. RNAcentral describes it as "partial 16S rRNA". It matches the Rfam family "Archaeal small subunit ribosomal RNA", at positions 475 to 726 of the family's 1478-position model. The record is from RNAcentral.
ACCGGCAGCUAAAGUGGUGGCCAUUUUUAUUGGGCCUAAAGCGUUCGUAGCCGGUUUGAUAAGUCUCUGGUGAAAUCCCGCAGCUUAACUGUGGGACUUGCUGGAGAUACUAUUAGACUUGAGGUCGGGAGAGGUUAGGGGUACUACCAGGUGAGGAGUGAAAUCCUAGAAUCCUGGGAGGACCACCUGUGGCGAAGGCGCCUAACUGGAACGAACCUGACGGUGAGUAACGAAAGCGAUGGGCGCGAACCG